CUACGGGCGGCUCCAGUGAGGAAUAUUGCACAAUGGGGGGAACCCUGAUGCAGCAACGCCGCGUGGAGGAUGACGCAUUUCGGUGUGUAAACUCCUUUUAUAUGUCAAGAAAAUGACGGUAGCAUAUGAAUAAGCACCUGCUAACUCCGUGCCAGCAGCCGCGGUCAUACGGAGGGUGCAGAGCGUUACUCGGAAUCACUGGGCGUAAAGGACGCGUAGGCGGGUUGGAAAGUCAGGUGUGAAAUCCUACAGCUUAACUGUAGAACUGCACUUGAAACUUCUAAUCUAGAGUAUGGGAGGGGGAGAUGGAAUUAGUGGUGUAGGGGUAAAAUCCGUAGAUAUCACUAGGAAUACCUAAAGCGAAGGCGAUCUCCUGGAACAUUACUGACGCUAAGGCGUGAAAGCGUGGGGAGCAAACAGGAUUAGAUACCCCCGUAGUC
RNAcentral lists this ribosomal RNA (440 nucleotides) under uncultured bacterium. Its description in RNAcentral is "partial 16S ribosomal RNA". It matches the Rfam family "Bacterial small subunit ribosomal RNA", at positions 339 to 795 of the family's 1533-position model. The record is from RNAcentral.